CCUACGGGAGGCAGCAGUGAGGAAUAUUGGUCAAUGGACGAGAGUCUGAACCAGCCAAGUAGCGUGAAGGAUGACUGCCCUAUGGGUUGUAAACUUCUUUUAUAAAGGAAUAAAACGAGGCACGUGUGCCUUUUUGCAUGUACUUUAUGAAUAAGGAUCGGCUAACUCCGUGCCAGCAGCCGCGGUAAUACGGAGGAUCCGAGUGUUAUACGGAUUUAGUGGGUUUAAAGGGAGCGUAGAUGGGUUGUUAAGUCAGUUGUGAAAGUUUGCGGCUCAACCGUAAAAUUGCAAUUGAUACUGGCAGUCUUGAGUACAGUUGAGGUAGGCGGAAUUCGUGGUGUAGCGGUGAAAUGCUUAGAUAUCACGAAGAACCCCAAUUGCGAAGGCAGCUUACUAGACUGUGACUGACAUUGAUGCUCGAAAGUGUGGGUAUCAAACAGGAUUAGAUACCCUUGUAGUC
This 460-nucleotide ribosomal RNA is filed under the name uncultured bacterium. RNAcentral's name for it is "partial 16S ribosomal RNA". It matches the Rfam family "Bacterial small subunit ribosomal RNA", at positions 338 to 795 of the family's 1533-position model. The record is from RNAcentral.